GAGCCAGUGGUCUAGUGGCUAUGACCCCGCCCUUACAAGGCGGUGAUCGAAGGUUCGAAUCCUUCCUGGCUCA
Molecule: transfer RNA, 73 nt
Filed under: Nanobdellota archaeon
Lineage: Archaea; Nanobdellati; Nanobdellota
Description: tRNA-Val
Rfam family: tRNA
About the family: Transfer RNA (tRNA) molecules are approximately 80 nucleotides in length. Their secondary structure includes four short double-helical elements and three loops (D, anti-codon, and T loops).
Source: RNAcentral